RNAcentral lists this ribosomal RNA (253 nucleotides) under uncultured bacterium. RNAcentral describes it as "partial 16S ribosomal RNA". It matches the Rfam family "Bacterial small subunit ribosomal RNA", at positions 524 to 776 of the family's 1533-position model. The record is from RNAcentral.
UACGUAGGGUGCGAGCGUUGUCCGGAAUUAUUGGGCGUAAAGGGCUCGUAGGCGGUUUGUCGCGUCGGGAGUGAAAACCCAGGGCUUAACCCUGGGCUGGCUUCCGAUACGGGCAGACUAGAGGUAUGCAGGGGAGAACGGAAUUCCUGGUGUAGCGGUGAAAUGCGCAGAUAUCAGGAGGAACACCGGUGGCGAAGGCGGUUCUCUGGACAGAUACCGACGCUGAGGCACGAAAGCUAGGGGAGCAAACAGG